This is a long non-coding RNA of Vidua chalybeata, 2127 nucleotides long. RefSeq lists it as uncharacterized. The transcript is spliced from 2 exons. The record is from RefSeq and is a predicted model, not a curated record. NCBI's taxonomy places the organism in Eukaryota, Metazoa, Chordata, Aves, Passeriformes, Viduidae.
CUCGCCCGGCCCGGCCCGGCCCGACCGCACCUCCGCUCUGCCCUCUCCGGGUGCCGCGCUGCCCGGCCCGGGCCUGGCGUUUCCUUCUCCGCGGGACUGAAUCCCUCUGGCCCUCCCGCUGCUGCCGGCGGACCCAGGCACCGCCUCCUGCAGCACCCGGGCCUGGGGGGCAAGAGGAGGCAGGGGGCUACUUUGCAUCCGUGCCCUGACCUACGGCUCUCCUGCAGGCAGAGUGGAAAAGAACUGAUUUGCAGCUCAAAUACUGGACACACCGUUAGAUGCCGAUGUCUGUGUUAAAGUAAUAGUAACGACAGUAGUAGUAGUAGUAGUAGUACUAAUAAUAAUGAUAAUAAUACUUAUAAUAGUAAUAAUAAUAAUUCCUCAGUCAUAAACGCGCAGGUGCUGCCUGGGCAGUGUGGAAUGUGCGCGAGGUACGAGAGCCGGGCGGCAGCGAGGGAAGAGACAGCAUGCUGUCUCCGGAGGGGCAGCGGGGAGGGAUGGAGGGACACCCGGAGCGCAUGAGAGGCGACAGAGACACGCGGCGGCUGUCGGGAACCCCUGCCUGAAGCUGUUACACAGCAAAGAGCAUCAAUUGGUAGGGACUGUGAAGCCUCAGAGCACCUCAGGCUGUCAGCUUUGAUGCAAAUCUGACGACGGGCUUCUUAAGUUUGGGACCUCCCACCAUUUCCGCGCAGCAAGGUUGGGCCACACUCAUUACUAAUGAGCCAGUAGAAGAAGAAAAAAAAAAAAAAAAAAAAAGCAUGCCCUGAUCGGAUUCAAGAUGCUUCAAUGAAAUGCUUCGGGAAAUACAAGCGUUUCUCAACAUAGUUAUUUCCUUGGGAAUAUUCCAAACAGAUGAAAUCAAAGUGAUAACUCACUUCUAUGUCUGUGCAUGCAGCCCUACUAACUUUGCCUCUAGCGAUUUCCUCUUUGUUUAAAGCAUAGUAAGCAUAGCCUGUGUGGUAUGCUUAUAGCACACGGAGACAUCUAGCGCCUAAAUAAUAGACUGCAAAUCAGCUUCAUUAAUCUGAAAUCUUGGAGAUCACAGUCGGAUCCAUUGCUCGCAAUGUUCCACCCCAGGACUGCAGGGUACAGAGCAGUUUUACUGCAAACCAUUGCACCAGUGAAUAGCAGCUACCCGUGGAAGGGAGCGCAGGCAGGGAGCGCGGUGAAAUGAGCAGCUGCACUAGCUGAGGAGGCGACUGUGACUGCAGCUCUGCUGCACAGCUUGAGCUUCAGGCCUGAGAGUUACAGCAGUAACUGACUCAAGAGAGAGAUUUGCCUGUAUAGACACAGAAAGGGUUGAGACAGUUCCUAACUUGCCUUUGUCACUAAACCACAGAGAGGAAAGCCUGUAGGUGUAUGAAUAAGAAAGUUUCAUCUUGGCUUUGACAGUAUGUGUCUACCUCUAUUCUUUUUUUUGUUGGGCCAGGAGCACAAUCAUUCUAACACAUGUAAUUGUAAAACUUUUCCUCUUUUCAACAAACAUAUGCAAACUGAAUACUUACAUUUACCAAUUACUUUGGCUGAAAUUAAACUGAAGGUAAGCACUGCUUAUCUACUAGAAAGAUAUUAGUCCAAGAACAGAAAGUAUUUACUUUUUUUGUAUACUUGUCUAAAGAAAGAAGAAAUACAGAUUGCUGAUCAACAUUCUCGGCCAGAAGCCUGAAAAAAAAGGUCGUUUCAGUGAUACCCCAGUGCAGAUGUUUUUGCCAGUACUACUGUAUAGGGGCAUAAAGUAAAACAUUUCUACCUACUUAAAUAGUCUGAAACUAAAUAUAUUGCAUUAGGUAUGUGUGUAGGAGUGCACACAUAUGUAUAUUUUAGACAACCCACAUAAUACGUUCUUUUCAGUCUCAGACAGGUCACAAACACCUCUGAGCUAUAAAAGCACUAGCUCAUAGGACCAUAGAAAAAUUAAGGCUUGAAAAGACCUUUAAGAUCAUUAAGCUCAGCUGUCAACCCAGCACCACAAGCAUGUUCACCAUUAAAGCAUGUCCUCAAGCGCCAUAUCCACAGUUUUUUUGAACACUUCCAGUGAUGGUCACUGCACCACGCUUUACAACCCUUUCUGUCAAAAAAGAAAAUUCAAAAAUUGAAUCUAAACCUCCUCUGGUGCAAAUGAGA